This 294-nucleotide ribosomal RNA is filed under the name uncultured bacterium. RNAcentral describes it as "partial 16S ribosomal RNA". It matches the Rfam family "Bacterial small subunit ribosomal RNA", at positions 775 to 1067 of the family's 1533-position model. The record is from RNAcentral.
GGAUUAGAUACCCUGGUAGUCCACGCCGUAAACGAUGAGAACUAGCCGUUGGAGACCUUAGAGUUUUUAGUGGCGCAGCUAACGCGAUAAGUUCUCCGCCUGGGGAGUACGGCCGCAAGGUUAAAACUCAAAUGAAUUGACGGGGGCCCGCACAAGCGGUGGAGCAUGUGGUUUAAUUCGACGCAACGCGAAGAACCUUACCUGGCCUUGACAUCCUGCGAACCUUUCAGAGAUGAGAGGGUGCCUUCGGGAACGCAGAGACAGGUGCUGCAUGGCUGUCGUCAGCUCGUGCCG